Long non-coding RNA from Carya illinoinensis, 891 nucleotides. RefSeq lists it as uncharacterized. NCBI's taxonomy places the organism in Eukaryota, Viridiplantae, Streptophyta, Magnoliopsida, Fagales, Juglandaceae. The record is from RefSeq and is a predicted model, not a curated record. The transcript is spliced from 2 exons.
GUGUUUGAAUAUUUGGGAAUUGGGGACAAGUUUACCUCCCUCUUUCUUAAAUUGCUCUGUGUCUUCAUUGGCUUAUAUAUAAAUAUAUAUCUCUAAAAUUGGCUUGUACUUAUUACUUAGGCCUGUGCAAAAACCGUGAUAGCCUGACCCGCCCGAUAGACCGAUCCAGCCCACACAAUAAAUUAGGGUUAAAAUUAGAUGCGGGUUGGACGGGUUGUCUAUUGGACGAAAGCCACGAAAUCGUAGAACCCGUCCCACACUCUUUCUGCCUUUCUUCCUGCAAGAGAAAAAACCUACUCUCUCUCUCUCUCUCUCUCUCUCUCUCUCUCUCUCUCCAUAUGAUCGAUACUCCAAGAUCGUAUUCCUUCUCGCCCAUACUCCCCUCUUGAUUUUCUCUGGAUUUGAAGACAAUAUCGACUUGAUUUGAGCUUCAAAAGCGUUACUUUUGAUGGUACUCUUGCUAGCAAGAAUGACGGAAGUGGGAUCUCAAGGUAUGCCAGGAGAGGCAUUGAAGUUUCAACGUCAAUGAAGAUGGUGGAGAAUCUGAGAUGGGGCUAGAUAAGAUCAAUAACUUGCUGGGAGUCUGGAACAUGUUAUAGAUCAAAGUUUUUCUCAAUUGUUGAUCAUAUUCUCUUACUUCAUAAUGGGCCUAUAUACAAGUUCAAGCUAUCGCAUCAAGAUCUUGUAAGUAUUAGUGACAUGAUCGAUGGAUUCUUCAUCUAUCAAGGUGCUCUAUAAGGAGUUGGUUCUUGAAAUUUGGCAAUCGCAAUGCUACCAUAUGCCUUCUUGUUUAUUUUCAAGCCAAAAUUUGAAUUCAUUUGGAGUUAGUUAAUUGUUUUCUAAAACCUCCAUUAUGUUUAAAAUCUUCAUGAGCUUGAAGAGCCUUGAUUU